CUCCAAACAAGUCUUUGGUGGUGGCAGUGGCGGUGGCAAACUGGGGCACAAAAGCAGGGUGAACUAAAGACGUCUCCUCAGCCUGCCUUCCGCCCACCCCGAGCGCACCUGCUCCCUCCCUUUCAGGCUGUCGGGCCCGCCGAGGGGUCCCCGGUGGGGAGCGGGCUGGGUGGGGCCGGGUGGGUUACAAAAGCCGAUGAGUCUCGGCUCAUUGCUCCCUCUGCACCCGCUCCUCGAUGAGUCAGACCCAGACCUUACGGGACGCUGUUAGGGGUCAAUCACUCCCCCUCCCACCCUGGCAUUCAAUGUAGGAAGUCAGGUCUCUCCCCAGCCUCCUAGCAAGAGGAGGAAGGCCCACGGGCGCCCGAGAAACUUACCGAGGAAGCCUCGAUGCCCUCCCCCCACGCACACACGCAUGUACCCCCAUUGCUCCUUGCCCCCAGCUCAACGACCUUCUUUUUUAUUCCUAACAGUGAUGACUUUCACGACCCCGACCCCCCGCCUGAACCUGGGGAAGACGAGAUCGAGGUAACAGAGAGUCGAUUUGUUGUUGGGGUGGCACCCUCUUUUCUGGGGACGUGUGUCCUGGGAUGGGAGGUAAUCCACGGUAGUGUCUGUUUCCAACUUGAAAGCUCCUCUCUCCUACUGACUGGUGGAGUCCGUGGAGAAGGGUUGGCAUUCUUCCUAGACCCUGUGCCCACUCUGAGAUCUUGUUGCCCAGCUCCCAGGGCCUUUCUGCCUGCUGUGUCCCCACGUGUGCAUCAUCCCUACCCCUUGGCCACUUGCCCCAAGGAGGGAACAGGAAAUGCACCAGGGCAUUAGACCAGGUAGGAGUGGUGGGGGGAUUGGUGAGCAGAUCUGCCCUCAAUUGAGGCACUGUUAACACACGUGUGUGUGUGUGUGUGUGUGUGUGUGUGUGUGUGUGCGUGUGUGUGUGUGUGUGUGUGUGCUGGGGAAGGGAGGGUGGCCCAUGGGCUCUUGCCCUCUGCAGCUGUUAGAUGACACCCUUGACCUGGAAGCCGAGCAGGACCUGGAGUCUGAGUCCGAGUUGGAGUCCGAACUGGAACCAGAACCUCAGCUGCUCCCAGAAUCGGAGUCCGAGCUAGAAGACGAAGUCCCUGUCCCAGUCAGCGUCUUCGUUCAAACCUCCAAUCUGGCAUUUAGCCUGACCCCGAGGAAGAUGCCCCCGGGACCCAGAGUGAAUGUCCAGAUCCAGACGGCUGUUGGGCCCAAAGGGGCAUUGGAGUUAAGUAUUUCCCACGAGCCCCGGAGCCCGGAGCCCUUACCGGUGAAGGAUGGUCUGCACCAUACAUUCCGGUCAGUCUUUGUGCAAACCUCCAGGCACCUGUUCCGGAUAGACAAGCUGAUACAGGCGUCUGACCAUCGCCUCAAGCAGCCAUUAGGGAUAGGGUGCCACCCAUUCCCAAUGCGAGACUGGCCUUUCCAGAAAUCUUUUGGACGAACCUCCAAGGAAAGCCUGCUCUCUGGCAACAAAUUGUCCAAGAUGUUCAUGGAGGACGUUAGAAUCCAAACCUCUCACCCAAGCCUGGGCAUUGAAGGUUUCCCACCACAGACCCCCAUUCAAGUAUUACUACCAGAAAGGUCGCCCUCAGAAAUCCAGUUGCUACCUUCCCGAAGCUUGUCUGCUAAAUUCUCGGAGCCACUGGACUUCAGAAUACUAGACUUUCGUCCAACCUCUGCCAGCCUUCCCCCAGCGCUGGUUUCUAGUACUGCGACCUCUUGCAAUUCCUCUUCCACAGAGCUGAUACUAGAUUCCAAAGCUCUGAUUUCCUGCAAGUCUUCCACAGGGCUGAGAAUGAGCUCCAGGUCACCCAUGACCCAAGAAUCGACCACGGACCUUUCCAUAGCAACUGAGCAGCCAGUCUCACCUUUGCCCCUCCUGAAGCCACCAGAAGCAGGGGAGCCUCAGAAGUCCAUCAGCCAGGAAUUUGCCCCGAAGCCAGGCUAUGCUCUGAACAUGACCAAGGCAGCCUCAGAAAGAGCAUCCAUGGAAGGGGAAGUUAACCCUCUCCACUCUCCAUCUUUAGCUCCAGUGUCAUCGGGACCUUGGAAAGAGUGGUCAUCAGCAGAGCACCAGGAGAUCCACAGUGAUACAGAAAUUGUACAGGUGAUGGAGCUGUUGACUUUGAGGACUUCCUUGGGAUCCUGACAGACAAUCAUCGCUUUGCCCAAUGCAUGGAGCCCAUAGGUCAACGACCACAGUCAGAAGAGGGGACUGCAGAGCUGAGACCAGCUCCCUCCCCACCCACCCUGGUCCAGAGCCAACUCCCUUCCCCACCCCCUCCUACCCCACAGAGU
This 2319-nucleotide long non-coding RNA is filed under the name Vombatus ursinus (common wombat). Its description in RNAcentral is "lncRNA (ENSVURG00010009005.1)". The record is from RNAcentral. Lineage: Eukaryota; Metazoa; Chordata; Mammalia; Diprotodontia; Vombatidae.